GUCACCAGAUCAUCACGUGCAAGGAUACAACCAAGAGUUUCAGUAAUAGCAAAACGGAGAUUAUCACUGGGAGAAUCAAAACAGCUAGAGAUCUGCUUGUUACAGUCAGAAAUAAGCUUACCAAGACGGUAAGAAGGAAUAGCAGCAAGUAUAGAUACAGCAGCAGCAGUAACGUCCGGGUCAGGAAAGUCGAGAUCGUUACGAAUUCCGGUACAAACAGUUUCCCAAAGGUCAGCAGUAAGACGAGUGGAUCUAAUUAGGUCAAAUGCUAGCUUUUUCGAAAUGGCGGAAGCUGGUGACGCGACGAUCUCUUCAACAGCGGAUUUAGCGAUGACGGAGAUGUCUCUUCCGGCUGCGGAUUGUUGUAGAGCUUGUAAAAGAGCUCCUGAUUGACGGAGUGCGUCAUUUGAACGGAGAUCGGCUUGGAUCUGAGCGAAAAGUAUAUCCAUUUGUAGCCGUGGAAGUGAGCGAAACAGUAGAGAUUAGUAUGUUUUGCUCUGAAGCAAAAUCACACCAGUAGUAGUAGGAUGCUGCUUCGGAGCUCUAAUGGAGGAAAGGUCACUCAACUGUGAGUUGCCAUAUGUAGCUUUUUCUGAUCACGGAGGGAAGUUUCCGGCGGGCCGGUGGAUCGUUU
Molecule: unclassified non-coding RNA, 634 nt
Filed under: Hevea brasiliensis (rubber tree)
Lineage: Eukaryota; Viridiplantae; Streptophyta; Magnoliopsida; Malpighiales; Euphorbiaceae
Source: RNAcentral